RNAcentral lists this non-coding RNA (21 nucleotides) under Caenorhabditis elegans. The record is from RNAcentral. Lineage: Eukaryota; Metazoa; Nematoda; Chromadorea; Rhabditida; Rhabditidae.
UGGAUUGAAUCUAUAAAUUAA